UUAUUAUAUUCUGACAAAGUGACAAUUGCUCAUAAAAUAUUUAAUAAUGUGCUUUAAAAACUAGGAAAAAUAACUUGCAGAACAUAUAUUACAUUUUAAAUAAUGAUUUGGUUUAAUGCAAGAUUGAUGAUGUAUGGAGUUUAUAAAUCGUUUUGAAAUCAGCCUUCACUCGAAUGUUUCUGUAACUAAGAAUGAUUAUGUCACCACUCUUGUGGAGGGAGGGUUCUCAUGGGAAGUUAAGUUAUUGUCUUAAAUCAAUAUGCCCGGUGCUUGUGACACUGGUAAGGCAACACAUAUCAACACACACAGUGACAAAUGGUCGCCUCUUAAGCUGAUUUCAAGGUGCAAAUAGAAUCUGCUUUUUAUCCAUUUGCCUUCUGUAGAGAACAAAUCCUUCCAUUUCACAGUUGAGGGAUACAACACUUGAAGUAUCAAUGACCUGGGACAGGUAUCACAUUGCUUUCCAGUCUCUUAUAAUAGAUUCCAUUAUUAAAAGAAGAUAAGGAUGAGAGCCAAAGAGGGGAACACACCUCCAGGGGAAGCUGAAAGCCAGAAGACAGAAAGCAGAUGGAGGGAGAAUAAAAACAUAAUGAGGCAUGAAAAUUCUAGGGAGUGAGAGGACUUAGUUGACAAAUUUGAGCAUUUUGAAACAACUAGCAGUUGGUUUAUGGUGACUGUAAUGAGGUAAUUAAGAAGGGAAAUUAAGGAUAGGUUUAUUUAAAACUACGUAAGUUAAAAUGAGGCAAUUAUUAACGUGAGAAAAUAUAAACAUAAUAAAACAUCUGUCUCUAAUGAACAAUAUUCACCAAGUUACAUUAAUGUAUAAUGUGAUUUUCUAUAACUGAAAUAAUGAUAUAAUUAAACUGGGUAGGAAGACACAGGGAAAUGGUCAUGUGCAAUGAGACUGCAUCUACCAUAACAGGAAGUACACAGUUGGUAUCCAAAAAUUACAAAUUUAGAAAUAGCAGCAUAAAUCAUUUAUUUAGAAAUAUGAAAAUAAGAAACACUAAAAACAACAUAGACAGAGUACUUGGGCUGACAAAGCCAGGCUGCCACUGGCUUCCCAGGGCUGACACAAAGAGCACAUGAACAGAAUAGUUAUGGUGGCAGACAUAGAGGCUAUGCAUAUGUCCAACGGCAUGAAUGCAUAUUCACCAAGGCGUGUGUAGCUACUGCUGAAUGCCCAACCUUCCAAUAACAGAGACUAACACUGAAUUUCCAAUAUAGUACCAUGCUUUGAAGAGAACUACUAGCUAUUGAUAGCAAAUUGAUUACACUGGACCCCUUUCAUCUAGGAAAGAGAACUGGUUCAUCUUACCUGAAACUGGUUAGUAGUAUCAAUAUGAGAUCGUCUUCUCUGCUUGUAUGGCCUCAGGCAGAACUACCACCAUAGAAGAGUCUGAAUAACAUGGUUUUGAGCCAAGAAACCCACUUUGCAGCAAGGAGGUGUACUUGUUAGGGUUCUCCAAAGAAACAAUUAAUAGGAUGUGUGUGUGUGCAUGCGUGUGUGUCUGUGUGUAUGAUUUAUUAUAAGGAAUUUGUUCAUGCAAUUAUGAUGGCUGGCAAGUCCAAAAUCUGCAGAGCCAGUAUCUAGUUUGAGUCCAAAGGCCAAAAGCUUCUGUAGAACCAGGAAGAGCUGAUGUUCCAGUUUGAAGACCACCAGGCAGGGGAAUUAUCUCUUACUCAGGGGAGGGACAUCCUUUUGUUCUGUUCAUGCUUUCAACUGAUUGGAAAAGGCCCAUCUACGUAAGGGAGGGCAAUAUGCUUUACUCAGUCUACCAAUUUAAAUAUUAAUCUCAUCCAAAACACCUUCACAGAAACACCCAGAAUAAAGUUUGACCAAACAUCUAGGCACCCUGUGGCCUGUUCAAGUUGACAUAUAAAAUUAACUAUCACAGAGGGUGUAGCAGUCAUAGCAGUGGACAUGUGGUUAUGCAAGUCACCUGCACACAGAAGCUGCCAGUUGGAUAGAGUAACAGAUGGCCAUUUUAACAGCACAGAUGAGGCACUAGCUUGAAGGUGAUACUCUGAGGUACACCUUGAAUCAAUGAUGUUUAUAUGGUGCUGUGUUUCCAAUAGGUAGACUAUGUGGGUGCAGAGACAAGUGUAGAAGAGAGUGACUCUGCUUCCAGGUACCCACUUGAAGAAGUUGUGCUUCCCAUAACUGCAAUUCUGGACAUUUUUGGUUUAAAGGUCCUGAUUCCUAUAGGGGUAAUGUGUCCACCAGGGACAGAGAAAUUUCUGAUUCCUAUUAACUUUGAGUUGUGGCUGCCAUCUGGUCAUUUCAGACUUUUUAUUUA
RNAcentral lists this long non-coding RNA (2300 nucleotides) under Papio anubis (olive baboon). RNAcentral's name for it is "lncRNA (ENSPANG00000039965.1)". Lineage: Eukaryota; Metazoa; Chordata; Mammalia; Primates; Cercopithecidae. The record is from RNAcentral.